This 408-nucleotide ribosomal RNA is filed under the name uncultured bacterium. Its description in RNAcentral is "bacterial SSU rRNA". It matches the Rfam family "Bacterial small subunit ribosomal RNA", at positions 348 to 773 of the family's 1533-position model. The record is from RNAcentral.
GCAGCAGUGGGGAAUAUUGGACAAUGGGCGAAAGCCUGAUCCAGCCAUGCCGCGUGAGUGACGAAGGCCUUAGGGUUGUAAAGCUCUUUUGGCGGGGACGAUAAUGACGGUACCCGCAGAAUAAGUCCCGGCUAACUUCGUGCCAGCAGCCGCGGUAAUACGAAGGGGACUAGCGUUGUUCGGAAUUACUGGGCGUAAAGCGCACGUAGGCGGAUUUGUAAGUCAGGGGUGAAAUCCCGGGGCUCAACCUCGGAACUGCCUUUGAUACUGCAAGUCUCGAGUCCGAUAGAGGUGGGUGGAAUUCCUAGUGUAGAGGUGAAAUUCGUAGAUAUUAGGAAGAACACCGGUGGCGAAGGCGGCCCACUGGAUCGGUACUGACGCUGAGGUGCGAAAGCGUGGGGAGCAAAC